CCCAGAGCAAAGACCCACUAAGCUCACUGAGAAAGCCUCGUUUCUUGGGAUAGCAUCAUGCAGUAAUGCACAAGACAAAUAGUUGGAAAAUGCUCUUCAGCCUUAAAUCACGUACCUGGAAAUAAGAAGAACAGAUUUACCACAGGACUAUUGCAUUAUUUCUUUGAACUUCAAAACAGAAGAAGAACGGAUUUCACAUCAUAUCAGCAGCCAGAUAAGUACAAUCUUAAUUGCAAUAUCCAUAUGGAACAACUUUAAAACUUUAUGGCUGUAUGGUCCUUUGUGCUAACGUGGAUCAGAGUAAAACACAAAGGAGUUGGGCUCCAAACACGGGGCAAUAUUCUGACAUUUCUGCUUGUUAAUGUUGCAAUUGCCCCUGCAAUUCUUAGUUGCAUGGGGGAAAAAAAGGUGCUGCUAUUUUACUAUUCUUUUAAUGGGGAAAGGGAUUUUUGUUUGUUUUGCUUGUUUUUUGUAAGAAAUACUACUUUAUACAUACACAAGGAAAUUCAAAUAAUUAAUUGAUGUUUAGAAACACAGAAGACCAUUGUGAUUUCUUUUCAGUGCAAGCAAAUAAAUCCCAUAGAUACAGAAAAUGUACUCCUGAGGAAACAAAUGGCCCAUUUUCAUUAUGCCAAACAACUUUCUUGACAACUUGACAACAUUUGCUGAACAAGAUUUUGGCAAUAGAAUGCUUUAAAAAGCAUUUUAUAAGGCUAUACGAUUCAAACUAUUUACUCUUAAGUGAAGUAUUAGUAGCAAGUAGGAAGUAAGGGAAGAGAAGAGAAAUGUUUCUUCUGUACGAAUCCCUGUGUUUCACUGCUGACAAGGGAAGUGAGUGCAGGCAGGUCGGAAUUGCUGGGACUGCACAAAACCAGCACCUUUGCUACAGCCAUAUGAGAAUUGGAGACAAAAAUAUAAUUGCUCAACAUUUCCUGAAUCAUAACAGCAGGUCAUGACUAAAUACUGCUCUCCUCUAAUUUAAACUCAAGGAGAGCCACAUACUUGGAUUUAAGUACAAAUUCAAACCUUUGGAUUUAGCUUGUCUUUCUUCUAAGUAAUUCUGUAUUUUCUUUAAUGCUUCUUCUCAAGUAGAAAUAGAUAGUGAAAUCAAAACUGACUCAUGGAGUCCUAGGGAAGGCAAGAUUCUGCUUGCAAUGCUUUAAAAUUAAUUGGAAAACUUCCUAAAUAUCAGUGACAUUUCCAAAAGUGCUGAAGAGUUCUGCUGUGGGAUAUAAAGGUAACUAUCUUGCUUUUAGCUCAUCUGUCUUUCAAAGAUAUUUAUCUGAAACUUUGAACAAAUUUGCAGCCCCUAAGAUAGACAAAAUACUGAUAACUGUCCAGGAUUAAGUAAAUGCAAAACUAGGCAUGAUUUUGUUUGAAGGUCAUAAAAAUUUUAAUGUUGCAGAUAAAUAAUAUGACCCAUUUCUUUAUUUGAAAUUAAUGAUAAUAUUUAACAUAUUCAGCAUACACCACUACAAAAGGUUAUCUGCUCUUUGGGUAGAUGGGUUCUCUUGUAACACAAAGAAAUGCUAAUAAUGCUGAUCCUAAAAAGAAAUGGUUUCAAAAAUGACCCAGUUGAAAUUUGAAAAUAAAUGUGUUCAGGUUUCCACUUAUAUGCUGCAGUACUUCCUAAUCAUGCAACAGUGUCACUUCUGCACACAACAAGCCAUCAACUAUUUUUAUUUUGACCUGAGCCUUCACACAAAGUAUUAAUUUACUUUGUAGCAUAAUGGAACCAGUUCUGCUGUCACCACAGAGAGCUGCUGUGCACUGCAUCAGAAAGAGAGAUGACAGAAAUUCCAGCAGCAGCAGAAUUUAAAUGUCUCGCCUGUAAUUCUGUUCAGUAGCAUCUUUGUGCAUCUGACAUGUGAAAUAUGUCUUUAGCUUUUGAGACAACAAAUGACAUUUGGUUUUGCUAAGAAGGCUUAGGAAGGGAAAGGCACAUUCAAAAUGUCACUUGUGUUACCACAGAGGUGUCCUCUGAAAAUGAGCCUAAAUAUCUAUGGAAUAUUUUAAUACUUAGAAAUUUUUCCAAAAAACCAUUAAACAAUUCAAGUUUUUUCCAUUCUAGAAAUGCAGGCAAGUGCUCUGACCUAGUUUACACAUUUAUUUCUCUACUAUUUUUUUACCCCAGCCCUCCCAAUUCAGUGGACUUGGAAAAUGCCAAAACAUGAACUGAUCUCUGAGAGGACAAUGAAGAGCACAGCAAAACCUGAGCACAUUUCUAUCCCAUUUCAUAGAGUACUAAGUCAAGUGCAUUUUGAACUUCCAAAAGUUAAAACGUCCUGUGGCAUAGGAGAACUUAUUUAAAUAUCAAAGACCAGUUUUUCUGAAUUAAAAACAUAAACAAAGCUGUUUGAAAAGACUAAAAAGUAUAAUUUUUUCAUACAUCAAUGUGAUAAUAAGAUUUCCUUAAAAACAGAUGAACUUCAAAUGUCCUUAUCAUUAGCAUGCUGGUAUUUUCCAGUACUCAUAUUUGCUGGCAACCUUUUUGUCCUUCCAGGAGAGAACACUUGUACUUAUUUACACAAAAUAAAGACAGCUUCACUUUGUAAGUUUAAUAUUUUGGGCAAGCAGUAAUAUACCAGUCUGUUAGCCAGUCUUAGCAGGAAAUAGUCCUAGUGCUGAUCACAAUGAGAUGACUCGUGGUCUCAGCUCAUUUUGAGAAGUUUAGUAAACAUGUUAUCUCUAGCACAGGGCUGAUGUAAUGUUUAUAAGUUCAAUCUGUCCUGUUUUGCCAUUGCUGGUGAUACUCUUGUUACCAAAACAGCCUAAAAGUGUUUUCUUCAUCAUAACCUUCUCAAGGUCACAUACAGAUGAUGUUUCAUCAUGAUUAAUAUUUGAAACUCAUUUUUAAAGACAAAUCCCCCAUGCUGUUAAAGCACCUCCCUGAAUUUAAAAUUUUAGUUCUUCCUAUAAUAAAGCUUGAACAACUUGAUAUUACAGAAAGCUUUUAAUUCAUCAUCUGAUCUGUAAGUAAAAUCCAUUUUGCCUGAAUAAUGAGUAUGUCAAAUUGUAUGGGGGGUUAUCUAUAUGAGUGCAAAUGUUUAUUUAACAUUAUGGUUAGAUGAGCAUCCAUACUUGUUAACAAAAGGAUCAAUACAUGUCCUUCAGGACACUUGAGCUAAGGCUGACAUAAUCACAGAGGAAAAACUUUAUGUAUAAAUUAGAAGGAAAGAGAAAAAACUCUGCAGCCUGAAUAACCUGGUUUGUCAAGGUUUGUUAAUACUCUUUUUACACUCAACACAUUUUCCAUUUCAAGCUGUCUUUAGAGUGCUUAAGUUGUGACUAUGAUCCUGUCACACACACUUUAAUUUCUAGCUUUGUAUCCUGUGAGUUUAACUGAACUCAGUGUAAUCCUGACACUCCAGGCUGCAGUGAUUCCAUCCCCUCUGUACUGACAAGGGGGUCUCUGCCCAUGUGUCACCAUCUGGGCCUGACCAGAAAUGCUGCAAUGGAAAAUCAACCCAGCUCCUCAGUCCUUAGCUGGCCUGUGUCAGGGGGUAUUGUUUGUAGCAGUGUUCCUUUAAUCCCUCUUCACCUCAAGGAAGAAGUUAUAACUGAAUGUGCACAUCAGGAAGAUCUGAUGGAUAGGGAAGUACAAUUUUUAGUAAUUUUCAGAAUAAACCAAAACUUUUGAAUUUCUCAGCAUUAUACAUGUAUAGAAUAUUUAUUAUAUGGAAGCUCACUACUGCUCUCAUGCCUCAGGGAUGAGUAGGACGUCAUAGGGCAAGUUCUGUCUUAAAGAUCUCAGGAACUUCUCUAAUUACCUCCAUAGACAGAAACUUCCCAAGACAGACUUUCUUGGAUUGUGCAAAUGUCUUUGUUUUUUUUUUUCUAUCUUUUUUCUGUGAUUAAGGUCCUCAGGAACUUCCACUAGGAAGGUGCCCAUGAGAACUUCAGGGAGAGCAUCCAGCACCUGUUAUUUGCUACGUACACCAUCUUUUAUCAUUUUUCACAGCUGUUUCAAAAGCUGGGGUUCCAGGUCUAUGUCUAAACCAACAGAACUUAGCUCUGUGUCUGAUAUUUGAAGGGUCAGAGUUGUGCCACUUCAGAAGCACUGAAUAUGCAGUAAGAGAAUGAGAACAAGUAAACAAAAUGCUCCAUUGCCAAGAAAGAGAAACUGAUAUGACAACUUGUAUAACUUAUUAUUACUAAUUAUGCUUAUCUAAAUAUUACUGUACCAGCAAAAAAUUCUUAUCUUAAACAAAGCCAUAGAAACAGUUGCAUAAGAAGUUUCAGUAAUGCAAUACUGGCUGCUUUCAAGCCUACGAUGUCUGCAGACAUUUCUACCAAUUAGAUCACCCAAAUAUGUGACAAGCCCAGAUAACGUGCUAAAAUCACAUUACAUUUUACUUCUUUGCAGCACUAGCACUGAAAACUAGAAUUUUGCUUUUACAGAGUCACUAUAUAACAUUUCUUCAAAACCAAAUUUUUCUCUGUUAAAAUCAAAUAUCUUUUUUUUUACUCUUAUCAAAUUCUGUGACAGAAACAACUGGUUACUAGUUAAUAAUGCAACAAUACUGCAUAUUAUUUGAUUCUUAUUCUGAUAGAUUUCUCUAGUUUGGAUAUAAAAAUGCAAGCAUAGAAAGAGAUUUUAGAUCCUCACUCUAUAGUACAAGUGUGAAUAUACAAGUUUUUGAUUAAACUGUACUUUAGUGAGAACUUUUUAAAAUAAUAACA
Molecule: long non-coding RNA, 4683 nt
Organism: Passer domesticus (house sparrow)
Lineage: Eukaryota; Metazoa; Chordata; Aves; Passeriformes; Passeridae
Exons: 3
Source: RefSeq, a predicted model, not a curated record